Falco peregrinus (peregrine falcon) is the source of this 921-nucleotide long non-coding RNA. RefSeq lists it as uncharacterized. The transcript has 3 exons. Lineage: Eukaryota; Metazoa; Chordata; Aves; Falconiformes; Falconidae. The record is from RefSeq and is a predicted model, not a curated record.
UCUGCACACCUCCCACGCUUCAGAAAACCUACAGAAGGUAUGCUCACCAGAGACAACAUCUCUUCCCACAAGUUCUCACAUUGUUCAAGCACCUCACCAGAAGAGAAGCAUUUUUAAAGGAAACAACAAAGAAAAUAAUUUAAACCCAUCUUAGUACCUACCCUGAUAACCGCCAGCACCUGGUGCCCACCAAACACUGGGCACACUGACUCAAGCCUUUGCCAAAGGCUCCUAUCCCUUCCUUGGGGUGAAGGCAAACCGAGGCGCUCUUCACAGUGAAUCUGCAUUUUACGCAUAAGAAGUGUGAAAAUACAAGCACCACAAGCACAAAUGACACCUGACAGUCGUGUUUGAGUCUGAAAAAAAUUUAAUAAAAUCUGUAAUAAACCAACCACAAAGAAAAUCAUUGAGAACGCAGGCAGGCUCCAGCUCUUCGUGCUCUCGCCGAACAGCAACGCGCCCUAAGCCCCCCUAACGAGCCUGAGGGGAAACCCUCCCCCCGGCCCAGUCCCUCAAGCGCCGCCGGAGGAUCCCUCGCACCCCUCCCCGCCGCCAGCGUUCGGGCGCGGCGGCACGGCGUGGGAGACCCGGUAACGGCGUCGGGCGACGCGGCGGCCCAGGCUACCGCCGCGGGAAGCAGCAGCCCGGCCGCAGCCCGAGACCCCGCGGCCCGCCCCCCGGAGGCAGCGGCAGGGCGGGCGGCAGAGCGGCCCCGGCUCCCCUGAGGAGGCCGUGCCCGCGGCCUCAGCCUCCCGCCGGCUGCUGGCCGGCUCCCGCCGCGCCCUCCCCUAGGCCGCCCUCCCCAGGCCCCGCUCGACGCCCCCGACCCGGACCGUGCAGCGCGGAACACCAGCCACAGCCCCGGCUGCCGCCCCGGGUCGAAGCUCCCCGGCGGUGCCCGCCCGCGCGUACGGCGGCCGA